CUCCGGUUGAUCCUGCCGGACCUGACUGCUAUCGGAUUGGUACUAAGCCAUGCGAGUCGUUGUAGCAAUACAAGGCGGACGGCUCAGUAACACGUAGUCAACCUAACCUAUGGACGUGGAUAACCUCGGGAAACUGAGAAUAAACCGCGAUAGAUCAUUAUGCCUGGAAUGGCUUAUGGUUCAAACAAUUUAUUGCCGUAGGAUGGGACUGCGGCCUAUCAGCUUGUUGGUGAGGUAAUGGCCCACCAAGGCUAUAACAGGUACGGGCUCUGAGAGGAGAAGCCCGGAGAUGGGUACUGAGACACGGACCCAGGCCCUAUGGGGCGCAGCAGGCGAGAAACCUUAGCAAUGUGCGAAAGCACGACUAGGUUAAUCCGAGUGAUUUCUGUUGAAGAAAUCUUUUGUCAGUCGUAAAACCACAGACGAAUAAGGGGUGGGCAAGUCUGGUGUCAGCCGCCGCGGUAAUACCAGCACCUCGAGUGGUCAGGAGGUUUAUUGGGCCUAAAGCAUCCGUAGCCGGCUACGCAAGUCUCCGGUUAAAUCCAGCUGCUCAACAGAUGGGCUGCCGGAGAUACUACAUAGCUAGGGAGCGGGAGAGGUAGACGGUAUUCUGUGGGUAGGGGUAAAAUCCACUGAUCCAUAGAGGACCACCAGUGGCGAAGGCGGUCUACCAGAACGCGUUCGACGGUGAGGGAUGAAAGCUGGGGGAGCAAACCGGAUUAGAUACCCGGGUAGUCCCAGCUGUAAACGAUGCAAACUCGGUGAUGCAUUGGCUUAUGGCCAAUGCAGUGCCGCAGGGAAGCCGUUAAGUUUGCCGCCUGGGAAGUACGGACGCAAGUCUGAAACUUAAAGGAAUUGGCGGGGGAGCC
This 869-nucleotide ribosomal RNA is filed under the name uncultured archaeon. Its description in RNAcentral is "bacterial SSU rRNA". It matches the Rfam family "Archaeal small subunit ribosomal RNA", at positions 1 to 878 of the family's 1478-position model. The record is from RNAcentral.